UUAAAUUUCAAAUGAAAAGUAAUUUCACAGUAGGUCUCAUAGCUUAAUAAGAAAAUUAUGCUGGUCUAACUAUUCAACUCAUGUUUUUAAGGUGAAAUCAUUAUUCAAAUAGACUAAAGAAAAGCUAUUACAACCCAACAAAGUCACUAGAUUUAAGCUCCAUCUAGUGACCAGUGACAUUAUUAUAACAACAAAAAACUAAAAACAAGAACAAAAACCACCACAUGUUGAUCCUAAGGUCAUUUCCCAAAUAAACCCAUGACAAGCCCCCGUCAUCGAUUAUUGGAAUACUCGACGCGCCACCAUGAAAGCCAAAUAAAACCUCCAACAUUUGUGUACCCUCCCAAAUCGAAUCACUAGGUUGGCACCAUCAAUAGUCAUCAAAAACACCUCUCAGAGCGAAAAAAGGAACCAUAAAAAUAUAACCAACUAACAUUCAACAACAAAUAUAACAAAACAAAAUAAACAUUAUAAGAAAGAAAAUUAGAGGAAAAAGGAUAGGAAAAAAAAAUAAGAAAAAAUUAAAGAAAAAACAGAAACAAUAUAAUGCCAACAGGAAAGGGAGUGGGAAAAUCCCUCCCUGUCCAGAAGCCUCUAGUUUAGGAACUGUUGCUUGGAAAAAGGGAAGCGAUGGAUAGAUCUAGAUGGCUUGGAAGCAGUAAGCUCGAUAGCGGUGGUGGUUUAUCCUUUAGGAUAGCUAUUUGGUUGGAAACAACAAAUUAGCAGCGAUGGUGCUUUAUGAUUCCGAUUAUCAGUAACUAGAUUAGUUGUAUGUGAUGGUUAGAAAUAAGGGCUAGCAAUAAGGAAUUGGUAUGAAAUGGGCGGCGGUGAGAGAUGAAAGGGUGGUGCCAGCAUACUAGUAUUCGUACACCACUUUGAGAGUUUUCUUCUUUAAUGAAAGUGACAAUAAAUAUGUAUAAAUU
Molecule: long non-coding RNA, 923 nt
Filed under: Citrus x clementina
Lineage: Eukaryota; Viridiplantae; Streptophyta; Magnoliopsida; Sapindales; Rutaceae
Description: Citrus clementina (C. clementina) long non-coding RNA (CCLE_LNC003280)
Source: RNAcentral